RNAcentral lists this long non-coding RNA (657 nucleotides) under Amborella trichopoda. RNAcentral describes it as "long non-coding RNA (ATRI_LNC000644)". The record is from RNAcentral. Lineage: Eukaryota; Viridiplantae; Streptophyta; Magnoliopsida; Amborellales; Amborellaceae.
ACGCACCGGAUCCCAUCAGAAUUAUGAACUUAAACAAUGUGGUAAAUUGGAUGUAGUUGGCGAGCAUCAAGUGACAAGGGGAUGGAAUCAAGGGACAUGGUGGAGGCUCCUAGGGCAUGUAGAUUUUGAUUGGGUUCAUUUGGUCCCACUCCUUAUACUUUCAAAACAUGGGGCAAGGGCUAGGAAACUCCUGCAAUAAAUUGGGGCCAUGUUGUGUCAAACUCCAGAGCUGCUGAACCAUUCAAUACCAUGGCAAUAAUGGCUCGAAGAUUUGCGCGGUGGAGGAGAGUGGCUCGGCAACAAAGGGGAAAGUUGUACAUUAUGCGGGUGUGCGUAACCAUGCUCAUUUGUUGGCACAAGUACGCCUGACCAACUUCCCAAUUUUCUUGCUUCUCGGUACUCUGCUCUAACCCGGAUCUAGUUUGGCCGAUAGAAGCCGAAGUGGGGAAUGGUCCAUGUUACAAGACUACAAGGUGAACCAGAGAAUGGAGGUUUCACUUUUGAGUUGCCUUUUUUACAGGAGAGUUAGAGUUCUAUUUAUGUUCUAUGUGCUUGGGUUCUGAAAUCUGAACCAGUCUGUAUAAAUGAGUAGCACUAGUGAGAUGAGAGGAAGCCUUAUACUAAACAAAGAUACAACUUGUCGAAACUUGCACUGAU